GAAGCAUUUACUCAGAACAUCGCACACCUGUUAAUCCUCAGCGGCAAAAAAAAAGAAAAAGAAAAAGAAGAAGUUGCAUGUAAGUUACUUAACACAGAAAAGGCACAGCAGGAGCUCAUACAGUCAGAGGAAGCAAGUGUUUGGCUUCAUGUGCUCGGAUGAAACACAAUGGCAACUUCCUGUUUUCUUUCUACUCGAAAGAACUUCCCACAACAUCAGAUGCACGUAUAGUCACCAAUAAUAAAUAAAGAAGAAGAAGUGAAGUCUAGCCUUCACAAUGAGGAGCUUUGACUGACAACAGUAGGCAUGUACUAUUCACAGAGGAGUUGUUUAUACAUUCAAUGAAAGAUUAAAGGACUAUGAAGGAGGACAUAUAAUAACGUCAGCUUCUACUGACAGCAAAGCUUGAAGACCCCAGUGGAUUGUUUUACCUGUUUUUUUUUUUUUAUUAUUAUUAUUAUUAUUAUUAUUUAAAGCUUUGCGUUUAGAUAUUUAUUGCACAGUUUAGAUGAGAGAGGUGUAUCUAUGAAGUGUGAGUGUGCAGCGAUGGAGAAGCUCGGAGAAGAUGGCUUUGAGAGAUGUGAACAGUUUGGGGACUGGUCCAGCUCUGAACACUGGGAUGAGGAUCACAGGGACAGCAGUGGCUUUGGGGACUGGGCUAGUUUUAAAGACGGACUCAGUGAAGAGAGUGAUUCUGCAGACUUAUUGUCUCAGGAAGGACAGACUUCUGGCCAUGAACACAAGGUAGAGAGAGGUGAUGAGCCCUGGAUUGUGAUCCAUGAUUGCUUUCAUGUUGAGGAGAUUGUGAGAGAUACAGACAUGAUGGAAUUUCUGCCACUGUCACAGCUACUGCACAAUUCCACACACACCCCUCCUCCUCCAGCAGUACUAUUAAGAAAGGGUGCUAGCUUUUACCACAGUUUGCUGUGUGAGCCGAAGUCUUCAAGCGUAACGAGUCCUAAACCCAAUUUGCAUUCCCACAAGCAGCUCACUGAUGCACUACAGCUCAAACAAUCCAAUACUUCACAGAACACGGAUUUACUUCACCUUGGGUUUGAGAAGCCUCAAAGUUCCUCUGCUGCUCUCAUCCAAACUAAGCUAACAGCACCCACGUGGUGUCAGACUUCUCCUGGAUUCUUCUACCAGAUCUCUCACCGAUGGCUCAGCCAGAACAGUUUGAGACUACAGAAUAAUCAGGACAACAAAAAAGACCUGCUGGACAUCUCAAAAAAUUAGAAUAUCGUGGAAAAGCAGGUCCGGACUGGCCAUCGGGAGCACCAGGAGAAUUCCCAGUGGCCUGACAACUGAUUUGGCCUGCUGCCCUGCUGUUUUUUUAUUUUUAAUUUAUUUUAUAUUAUUGCAUGUCCUAUGUACUUGAGUUUUGGACUUUGGCAUUUGAUAAUAAAUCGAAAUAAAUCACUACCAUUCUCCUCAGCUCCGGUGAACAGUUUUGAACAGAGUGCUCAAUGCACAGAGCGAGGAUGGAGAGGAAAGGGCCAGGUGGAGCAGAAAGAAAGCCCUCUGAAAAGAAGCAGCAAAAAUGUAACAAAAUUACUGACCUGUUCAGGGCUUCAAGUGCAGGUCAGUCUCCUCUGUAAAUAUUGUAGCUUUGUG
Long non-coding RNA from Ictalurus punctatus (channel catfish), 1614 nucleotides. Lineage: Eukaryota; Metazoa; Chordata; Actinopteri; Siluriformes; Ictaluridae. The record is from Ensembl.